This 369-nucleotide unclassified non-coding RNA is filed under the name fungal sp. RNAcentral's name for it is "partial internal transcribed spacer region". The stretch from base 1 to 46 matches the Rfam family "Eukaryotic small subunit ribosomal RNA", at positions 1786 to 1831 of the family's 1831-position model. The record is from RNAcentral. Lineage: Eukaryota; Fungi.
AAGUCGUAACAAGGUUUCCGUAGGUGAACCUGCGGAAGGAUCAUUAUAAAGUCUGCCAGGCUUCGGCCUGGCGCACAGCCUGAAUUUUGAGUGGUCAGCAUAUUUUGUUUUUCUAACAUUUUUUUGUGCUUACCUCACGUGGCGCGUAGGGUUCAAUGUGCCUAGCUGUUAAGAAGGCUUGCGUCGUGCAAAGUUGUUUUUUUUUUGCUUUCGCUAACCACUAACUACCUUUGUACGGCUGCAUACCCAUAGGCUAGGCCUUGACCCGAAACAAUCUACCUCACACUUUACUGUCUGAAUCUUUUGUUGUUCAUCUGAACUCCAAUAUGAAUUAUUAAACAACUUUUAACAACGGAUCUCUUGGCUCUC